AUGGGCGUGGCGACGGUGACGGAGAUGAAGCAGAGCGUGAGCGUCUCCGGGAAGAAGAUGUUCCGGACGAGCCUCAACAAUCGGCACGCCAAUGAAUGGCCUCCCACCGACGUCUCCAGCGACCUCACCGUGGAAGUCGGCACGUCCAGCUUCGCCCUCCACAAGCUGCUCGCGCAGUUCCCGCUGGUCUCCCGGAGCGGCAAGAUCCGCCGGCUCGUGGCGGAGGCCAAGGACGCCAAGCUCGCGCGCCUCACCCUCCACGCCACGCCCGGGGGCGCCCCGGCGUUCGAGCUCGCCGCCAAGUUCUGCUACGGCGUCCACGUCGAUAUCACGGUUGCCAACGUUGCCAUGCUCCGCUGCGCCGCGCGCUACCUGCAGAUGACCGACGACUUCUCCGACAAGAACCUCGAGCUCCGCGCCGAGGCCUUCCUCCGCGACGCCGUCCUCCCCAGCAUCGCCAGCUCCGUCGCCGUGCUCCGCACCUGCGAGGCGCUGCUCCCGGCCGCCGAGGACGUCAACCUCGUCGCCCGCCUCAUCGCCGCCAUCGCCAACAACGUCUGCAAGGAGCAGCUCGCGUCCGGGCUGCUCUCCAGGUUGGACCACACUGGCGCGCAGCUCAAGCCGGCGGCGCUUGACUCGCCGGGGGAGGGGGACUGGUGGGGCAAGUCGGUCGCCGGCCUCGGACUGGACUUGUUCCAGCGACUCCUCUCCGCCGUCAAGUCCAAGGGCCUCAGGCAGGAGACGGUCACCCGGAUCCUCAUCAACUAUGCCCACAACUCGCUGUACGGGCUCAUGCCCUGCAGGGACGCCGACAAAUGCGGCGGCGUCACGGACACGGACACGGACACGGACGCCGUCAAGAAACAGCGCGCCGUCGUCGAGACCAUCGUCGGCUUGCUACCGGCGCAGUCCAAGAAGAGCCCCGUGCCAAUGGCCUUCCUCUCGGGGCUCCUCAGGACGGCAAUGGCGCUGUCCGCUUCCAACAUAUGCAAGGCCGACCUCGAGAAGCGGAUCGGCAUGCAGCUUGAGCAGGCUAUCCUGGAGGACAUCCUGAUCGCCACCGGGUCCGGCGAGGCCUCGACGCUGUACGACACGGACGUGGUGGCCAGGAUCUUCUCGGUGUUCCUCAACCUUGACGAGGACAAGGAGGAGGACGGCGGCGGGUUCGACUACGACAGCCCGCGGUCCCCGAAGCAGAGUUGUAUAGUCAAGGCCUCCAAGCUGCUGGACAGCUACCUGGCCGAGAUCGCGCUGGAUUCCAACCUCGUCCCCGCCAAGUUCAUCUCCCUCGCCGAGAUCCUCCCUGACCACGCCCGCCUCGUCACCGACGGGAUCUACCGCGCCGUCGACAUCUUCCUCAAGGUGCACCCGAACAUCAAGGAGGCGGAAAGGUACCGGAUGUGCAAGGCGAUUGACUGCCAACGGCUUACGCCGGACGCGUGCAGCCACGCGGCCCAAAACGAGCGGCUGCCGGUGCAGAUGGCGGUGCAGGUGCUCUACUUCGAGCAGAUCCGCCUGCGGAGCGCGAUCCAGUCCGGCGGCGGCGGCGGCCAUGACGGGGCUCUCUUCUUCGGCGGCGGCGCGGUGUCGUCCGCAUCGACUGUGCAGGGCGGCGGCGGCAACAACAUGCGGUCCGGGAGCGGGGUGGGGAGCGGCGCCAUGUCGCCGCGGGACAACUACGCGUCGGUGCGGCGGGAGAACCGGGAGCUGAAGCUGGAGGUGUCGCGGAUGCGGAUGCGGCUGACGGACCUGGAGAAGGACCACGUGAGCAUGAAGCGGGAGCUCGUGCGCGUCAACCCGGCGAACCGCCUGCUACGGAGCUUCGCGCGCAGCUUCGGCAGGCUCAACACGCUAUUCCGGAUGCGCCCGGCUGCCGAGCCUGGGUUGCAGCAGCUCGGCGCCAAGGCUACCGCCGACGCCAAGGUGCUCUUCCAGCGCCGCCGCCGCCAUUCCAUCUCGUAG
This 1962-nucleotide ribosomal RNA is filed under the name Triticum aestivum (bread wheat). RNAcentral's name for it is "partial small subunit ribosomal RNA". Lineage: Eukaryota; Viridiplantae; Streptophyta; Magnoliopsida; Poales; Poaceae. The record is from RNAcentral.